AACGUAGGACGCAAGCGUUAUCCGGAGUUACUGGGCGUAAAGGGCGUGUAGGCGGCUGUUCAAGUGGCUCGUGAAAGAUCCCGGCUCAACCGGGAAGGGUCGGGUCAGACUGAACGGCUAGAGGAUGUCAGAGGGACACGGAAUUCCGGGUGUAGUGGUGAAAUGCGUAGAGAUCCGGAGGAACACCAGUGGCGCAGGCGGUGUCCUGGGGCGUACCUGACGCUGAGACGCGAAAGCAUGGGGAGCGAACGGG
RNAcentral lists this ribosomal RNA (253 nucleotides) under uncultured bacterium. RNAcentral describes it as "partial 16S ribosomal RNA". It matches the Rfam family "Bacterial small subunit ribosomal RNA", at positions 524 to 776 of the family's 1533-position model. The record is from RNAcentral.